ACAGGCCCUAGGUCACCAGCAAGGUGGUCAAUGCUUUGAGGUGAUUGUGUCUGGGAUUGGGGUGGUGGCAGGACCCGAGGAGGGCUGGAUCCUGGCUAUCCUUGGAAGGCAUUGCCAACAGGAUUUGAUGAAGGCUUGGGUAUGCAGAGAGGGGAGGAAUGUAAGAUGAGCCUAGAUACUGGCUGGAGCCAGUGAAGGAAGUUGCCCUGUGCUGAUGUGAAGAAGAUUCCGGAAUGAGUAGGUAGGAGUGCUGUAUGAUGUCAUGUGUUCUGCUGCCCUGUUGCUUUCUGACAUCUCUGCCUUCUCUCUGAAACCCAUAAGGAUGCAUGUCCAUCUCAUUUGUGUGGUCCUAGAGUCUUGAACAGUACCUAGCACUUAGUGGGGAUUUGAUUCAUGUUUGUUGACUGUGUUUUAAGUGAGCAAAAAUGCUCCCUGAAGGUUUGCUUCAGAGCAGAGUGGUUACACCAAUUCCUGUCCAGGAAUUGACCUGUGCUCCAGCCAUGGCCAGGACUCAUGCGGAGGGAAUCUCCCAGAGCCUCGUGAAGCCCUUCUCCCUGUCCCAGGCUUUUGUUGGCAGCCUCCUCCUUUGAGGAGGUGCCUGCUGCAUCUGUCACUGCAGCCCUGGCUCUGGAGUGGGCGGUGGCAGCCUGAGGAACCCAUUUAUCUCCUGCAGGCUGGAAGUGUGCUAUGAGGUUCCUGGCAGAGCAAGACUCCAUCUCCCGGCCUCCUCCAUCCGUCUCCCCGUGUGCCUCUGUUUUGAAUCAUUUUUGCAUUCAAUUUAAGAAGAGAAAGAAGAGGCUGAGAGGAAGGAAGGAGGGACUCCAGCAGCUCUGUCACCGUGCCGUCAUCCUCCACGGAGACCACUUUCACCGGGACGGCCACCGUCUUCCCCGUGAGGAUGGCUGUGUUCAGGAUUUCUGCCUCCUGGAAGACCAAACACACCCUUCCAUCACAUCCCCUCCUGAGACGGCCCGGCCCCUGGGCUUUACAGAUGGCACAGAGAGGUUUUGUCACUUGCCCAGGGUCACCCAGCUAGAAAUUAAUGAAGGCAGGAUCUGAACCCGGGAAGUCCAGCUCCCGAGUCCAUGCAUCAGCUAACUCAAAUAGGUCUAAACGUGGACAUGACGACGGUAGCUUAAGCCGCUGAUGGAUGGCCAGAGGGGCCUGGUGUUGUGAAAGAAGCUUAGAUGAGCAGCACGGCACCCCCAGUGUGAGUGCACCCAUGCUCAUCCUCAGUUACUCCUCUAGAAUUCUUGUGAUUUUUUAACUGGUUGGGGACAGAGAGAUUAUAGGAGCCCAUUUUUCAGAUAGAGAAAACUGAGCCUCAAGACCCGGGUGAGGAUCGAAAGGAACAAGUGGUACUCUGGAAAAAAGUGGAACAAUGCUGUUUAACUUGCUGGCCGAAACUGGCUCAUCACUAAGGAGAGAGACAGACGAGGGAGCAGUGUGGCCACUUCUGACAUCAGUCUCAGGGAACACAAUUUCUCACAUUCGUGGUAAAAAGUAAAGAGCAUCUCCACUCUAACGAUAAAAAUCAAAAGGCCUUUCAUGUUUUUGCACAUUCAGGUUAAUAUAAUGAGAAAUGAUGCUGGGAAUGACUGAUGAGCAGCUGUAAGCCCAUAUGUCUGGGGUGUUGCCUUUUUCUCUGAAUAGCAUACGUGUUUCUGCCCACCAAGAUCUCAGUGGGGCUGAGUGACUGAGCCUUCAGGCUUGGUAUUUCCCUGCCUCCUCUGCGUAUUCCCAAUUCUUUGACGUCAAGAAUUUUCUCUUUUGCACAGCUUUGCCUUUUCCAGGAGGUGAAUGGUACGGGGAUGACUCACAAAAGUCUUCAGAUAAGAGGAGGACAAAAGAGACCCUUGUUCAGUGGCAGAAGUACCUGCAAAGCCUUAGCUUUGCUUGAGGUAUGACCUACAGCUGCUCUGAUUUUCGGACCCCAGAAAACCCUUGAAAGCUCAGCUUCCUUAUUGUUUUGUGUUCACCUUAUCACAGCACCUCAGAGCCUAGGAAAUAAAGGCACAGACUCUCUUUAGAAAA
This is a long non-coding RNA of Nomascus leucogenys (northern white-cheeked gibbon), 2034 nucleotides long. RefSeq lists it as uncharacterized. NCBI's taxonomy places the organism in Eukaryota, Metazoa, Chordata, Mammalia, Primates, Hylobatidae. The record is from RefSeq and is a predicted model, not a curated record. The transcript is spliced from 5 exons.